This 301-nucleotide ribosomal RNA is filed under the name uncultured bacterium. Its description in RNAcentral is "partial 16S ribosomal RNA". It matches the Rfam family "Bacterial small subunit ribosomal RNA", at positions 509 to 807 of the family's 1533-position model. The record is from RNAcentral.
CAGCAGCCGCGGUAAUACGGAGGGGGCUAGCGUUGUUCGGAAUUACUGGGCGUAAAGCGCACGUAGGCGGCUUUGUAAGUUAGAGGUGAAAGCCCGGAGCUCAACUCCGGAAUUGCCUUUAAGACUGCAGAGCUAGCAGGUGAGAGAGGUGAGUGGAAUUCCGAGUGUAGAGGUGAAAUUCGUAGAUAUUCGGAAGAACACCAGUGGCGAAGGCGACACACUGGCCCGUUACUGACGCUGAUGCGCGAAAGCGUGGGGAGCAAACAGGAUUAGAUACCCCCGUAGUCCCUGUCUCUUAUAC